Molecule: ribosomal RNA, 440 nt
Filed under: uncultured bacterium
Lineage: Bacteria
Description: bacterial SSU rRNA
Rfam family: Bacterial small subunit ribosomal RNA
Source: RNAcentral
AACGCGAAGAACCUUACCUGGUCUUGACAUCCCAGGAAAUCUUUUGGAAACAAGAGAGUGCUUCCAUUCGGAAGAAUCUGGAGACAGGUGCUGCAUGGCUGUCGUCAGCUCGUGUCGUGAGAUGUUGGGUUAAGUCCCGCAACGAGCGCAACCCUUGCCUUUAGUUGCUAACAGUUUGGCUGAGCACUCUAAUCAGACUGCCUUCGCAAGGAGGAGGAAGGUGAGGACGACGUCAAGUCAUCAUGGCCCUUAUGCCCAGGGCUACACACGUGCUACAAUGGCGCGUACAAAGAGAGGCGAUACCGCGAGGUGGAGCAAAUCUUAAAAACGCGUCUCAGUUCGGAUUGGAGUCUGCAACUCGACUCCAUGAAGCUGGAAUCGCUAGUAAUCGUAGAUCAGAUAUGCUACGGUGAAUACGUUCCCGGGUCUUGUACACACCG